ACUCAAAGAAAUUGACGGGGGUCCGCACAAGCGGUGGAACAUGUGGUUUAAUUCGACACUACGCGAGAAACCUUACCUAGGCUUGACAUGUAUUUGAUCGCUGUAGAAAUACAGUUUUCCGAGCUUGCUUGGACAGAUACACAGGUGCUGCAUGGCUGUCGUCAGCCCGUGUCGUGAGAUGUUAGGUUAAGUCCUCUAACGAGCGCAACUCCUAUCGUCAGUUGCAAUCCUUUUGGAGCACUCUGACGAGACUGCCUGGGAAACCAGGAGGAAGGUGGGAAUGACGUCAAGUCCUCAUGGUCCUUAUGUCUAGGGCUACACACGUGUUACAAUGGCCAAUACAACGGGUUGCGACAUUGCAAGAUGAAGCUAAUCCCUUAAAGUCGGUCUAAGUUCGGAUUGAGGUCUGCAAUUCGACCUCAUGAAGUUGAAAUCGCUAGUAAUCGCGUAUCAGAACGAUGCGGUGAAUGCGUUCUCGGACCUUGUACACACCGCCCGUCACACCACGAGAGUUGUUUGUACCCAAAGUUGCUUUAGCCAACCGUUAAGGAGGCGAGUACCUAAGGUAUGGGUAACGAUUGGGGUGAAGUCGUAACAAGGUAACCAAGGGCGAA
RNAcentral lists this ribosomal RNA (614 nucleotides) under uncultured bacterium. Its description in RNAcentral is "bacterial SSU rRNA". It matches the Rfam family "Bacterial small subunit ribosomal RNA", at positions 899 to 1510 of the family's 1533-position model. The record is from RNAcentral.